RNAcentral lists this ribosomal RNA (1543 nucleotides) under Salmonella enterica subsp. enterica. RNAcentral describes it as "16S ribosomal RNA". It matches the Rfam family "Bacterial small subunit ribosomal RNA". Lineage: Bacteria; Pseudomonadati; Pseudomonadota; Gammaproteobacteria; Enterobacterales; Enterobacteriaceae. The record is from RNAcentral.
UAAAUUGAAGGUUUGUCCGCGGCUCAGAUUGAACGCUGGCGGCAGGCCUAACACAUACAAGUCGAACGGUAACGAGGCUUGGCUGCUGCUGUUAGUGGCGGACGGGUGAGUAAUGUCUGGAAACUGCCUGAUGGAGGGAUAACUACGACGGUGGCUAAUACCGCGCAUAACGUCGCAAGACCAAGAGGACCUUCGGGCACUCUGCCAUCAGAUGUGCCCAGAUGGAUUAGCUAGUUGGUGAGUAACGGCUCACCAAGGCGACGAUCUAGCUGGUCUGAAGGGAUGACCAGCCACACUGGAACUGAAGACGGUCGGAACUCCUGAGGAGGCAGCGAUGGGGAAUAUUGCACAAUAGGCGCAAGCCUGAUACGCGCAAGCCCGAUGCAGCCAUGCCGCGUGUAUGAAGAAGCGCCUUCGGUUGUAAAGUACUUUCAGCGGGAGGAAGUUGCAGCCGGUUAAUAACCACAGCAAUUACCGUUACCCGCAGAAGAAGCACCGGCUAACCCGUGCCAGCAGCCGCGGGUAAUACGGAGGGUGCAAGCGUUAAUCGGAAAUCAUUGGGCGUAAAGCGCACGCAGGCGGCCCGCUGCUGUCAAGUCGAUGGCAAACUCCCGGCUCAACCGGGAACUGCAUCUCCGAAACGUAUGGCAGGCUUGAGUCUUGUAGUGAGGGGGUAGAAUUCCGUGCGUAGCGGUGAAAUGCGUAGAGUAUCUGAGUGAAUACCGGCAUAGCGCGGCCCCGACAAAGACUGACGCUCAGGUGUGCGAAAGCGGGGAUAAACAGGAUUAGACACCGUAGUCCGCACGCCGCAAACGUGAGCGUCUACGGCGGUUGUGCCCUUUGAGGCGUGGUUGGCUAUUUCCGAGCUAACGCGCUGGCAGACCGCCUCGGGAGUACGGCCGCAAGGUUAAACUCAAAAUGAAUUGACGGGCCCGCACAAGCGGUGGAGCACAUGUGGUUUUAAUUCGAUGCAACGCGAAGAACCCUACUCGGCUCCUAAUAUCCACAGAACUUUCCAGAGAUGGACUGGUGCCUUCGGGAACUGUGAGACAGGUGCCGCAUGCAUUGCCGUCAGCUCGUGCUGUGAAAUGUUGGGUUAAGUCCCGCACCCGAGCGCAAACUCUUAUCCUUUGUUGCCAGCGGUCCGGCUGAACUCAGCGGAGACUGCCAGUGAUAAACUGGAGGAAGCGAUGACGUCAAGUCAUCAUGGCCCUGGCAUGACCGUGGCUACCACGUGCUGCUACACGGGCGCAUACAAAGAGAAGCGACCUCGCGAGAUGCGGACCCUCAUAAAGUGCGCGUCGCAGUCCGGACCGGAGUUCAAAACCCCACCGCGAAGUCGGAAUCGCUAGUAAUCGUGAUCGAAUGCCACGGUGAAUACGUUCCCGGCCCAGGCCACACCUUCCGUCACAAUUGGCUGGGGAGUGGGUUGCAAAGUUAAAGUAGUAGCUUAACCUUCGGCGGGCGCUUACCACUUGGUGAUCUGGCGACUGGGUGAAGUCGUACCGCGGCCCGCGUAGGUAAAACCGCGCUAACACCCUUA